This is a long non-coding RNA of Sapajus apella (tufted capuchin), 1102 nucleotides long. RefSeq lists it as uncharacterized. The record is from RefSeq and is a predicted model, not a curated record. Lineage: Eukaryota; Metazoa; Chordata; Mammalia; Primates; Cebidae. The transcript is spliced from 3 exons.
GCACAUGCGCAGAAUCAUCGUUGUGCGCGGCUCUCCCUACGCCUCCUCGGUCGCAGUCCUCCUGCUGCUUUUCUUGCGCGUGCGUGUAGCGCUUUUGCAAAGCCGUGGAGGUGGAGCGAGCGAAGAGGCUGUGGGGCCGAGGGUCCACAGAUAGCUAUCAGUCCCCAGGCAUUUAGUCUACGUUGGAGGUAAACAAAUACGGGUCCAGCUUAGGGAAAAAGAAAAACAUCUUACAGCCAGUUUCUAAACUUCAAACAACGGAAUGUGUCAAUGAGACCUUGUGUAUGGAUACACGUGCAUUUAAAACGGCCCCGCCAGCGUGUAGCUCUUGCCGUUCGCCAGCGCUUUACAGGUGUUAUCGCACUUAGGCCUCGGAACAACUUUACCAGAUGAGAUCAUCUGAGGCUCAGAUUAAGAAAUCUUAAGUCUUAUAACUGGGCCAUUUCCAACAGGCUUGUCUAUGUGCAUUCCAUUCAGGAUUGAGACCCUGGACAAUGGACAGCGUUGCAGAUGUUGACCGAUACAAGCAUGCUGUCAGCCACACAAGUGAGAACUGUUAAAUACAAGUCUUUCUUCACAAGAAGAAUGAUGGGUAUUUUUAAAACUUGGAAUCAAGUAUAGUUUUCAUGAGCACAGUAAGAGAUGAUUCAUGAGCUGAAUACAGGAUAUAGUAGUCAUUUCAGAAAUGCAUAUUUAAGUUAAAGAAAAACCUCUUAAAACAUUUGUUGAUAAUAUUCAACUUUAGUAGAGGUUUUUUUUCCAUAAAUUUAAAAACUGUAGCAAAAUACUCAUAAAGUGUAUCAAGUUAACCAUUAUCAAGUAUACAGUUCAGUGGUAUUAAAUACAUUCAUAAUGUUGUAACCAUCACCACCAUCCACCUUCAUAACUAGUAGAGGUAUUAAUGUACCAAUGUUGAAUAGUCAUCAAAAUCACUGCACCUCAAACUUUUUCACAAAAGUAUGGUUAAUAGCAGAGAAGACUGAACAAUUGUCUUAACAACUUGGUUCCAAGCCAGAAUUUUCUUUAGCUUCAUGUUUUAUCUUAAAUUUAAUGUAACUAUAGUGCUAUAUACCAAAUGUGCCUAUAUUUAGUAAAAUAUAAU